CUCUGUAGCACAGCGUGGUUAGGUUAGGCUCUGUAGCACAGCGUGGUUAGGUUAGGCUCUGUAGCACAGCGUGGUUAGGUUAGGCUCUGUAGCACAGCGUGGUUAGGUUAGGUUAGGCUCUGUAGCACAGCGUGGUUAGGUUAGGUUAGGCUCUGUAGCACAGCGUGGUUAGGUUAGGCUCUGUAGCACAGCGUGGUUAGGUUAGGCUCUGUAGCACAGCAUGGUUAGGUUAGGCUCUGUAGCACAGCGUGGUUAGGUUAGGCUCUGUAGCACAGCGUGGUUAGGUUAGGCUCUGUAGCACAGCGUGGUUAGGUUAGGUUAGGCUCUGUAGCACAGCAUGGUUAGGUUAGGCUCUGUAGCACAGCGUGGUUAGGUUAGGCUCUGUAGCACAGCGUGGUUAGGUUAGGUUAGGCUCUGUAGCACAGCGUGGUUAGGUUAGGCUCUGUAGCACAGCAUGGUUAGGUUAGGCUCUGUAGCACAGCGUGGUUAGGUUAGGCUCUGUAGCACAGCGUGGUUAGGUUAGGUUAGGCUCUGUAGCACAGCGUGGUUAGGUUAGGUUAGGCUCUGUAGCACAGCGUGGUUAGGUUAGGCUCUGUAGCACAGCGUGGUUAGGUUAGGCUCUGUAGCACAGCGUGGUUAGGUUAGGCUCUGUAGCACAGCAUGGUUAGGUUAGGCUCUGUAGCACAGCAUGGUUAGGUUAGGCUCUGUAGCACAGCGUGGUUAGGUUAGGCUCUGUAGCACAGCGUGGUUAGGUUAGGUUAGGCUCUGUAGCACAGCGUGGUUAGGUUAGGCUCUGUAGCACAGCGUGGUUAGGUUAGGCUCUGUAGCACAGCAUGGUUAGGUUAGGCUCUGUAGCACAGCGUGGUUAGGUUAGGCUCUGUAGCACAGCGUGGUUAGGUUAGGUUAGGCUCUGUAGCACAGCAUGGUUAGGUUAGGCUCUGUAGCACAGCGUGGUUAGGUUAGGCUCUGUAGCACAGCAUGGUUAGGUUAGGCUCUGUAGCACAGCGUGGUUAGGUUAGGCUCUGUAGCACAGCGUGGUUAGGUUAGGCUCUGUAGCACAGUGUGGUUAGGUUAGGUUAGGCUCUGUAGCACAGCAUGGUUAGGUUAGGCUCUGUAGCACAGCGUGGUUAGGUUAGGCUCUGUAGCACAGCGUGGUUAGGUUAGGUUAGGCUCUGUAGCACAGCAUGGUUAGGUUAGGCUCUGUAGCACAGCGUGGUUAGGUUAGGCUCUGUAGCACAGCGUGGUUAGGUUAGG
Molecule: long non-coding RNA, 1254 nt
Organism: Salvelinus fontinalis (brook trout)
Lineage: Eukaryota; Metazoa; Chordata; Actinopteri; Salmoniformes; Salmonidae
Exons: 4
Source: RefSeq, a predicted model, not a curated record